RNAcentral lists this ribosomal RNA (308 nucleotides) under uncultured bacterium. Its description in RNAcentral is "bacterial SSU rRNA". It matches the Rfam family "Bacterial small subunit ribosomal RNA", at positions 767 to 1074 of the family's 1533-position model. The record is from RNAcentral.
AGCUAAUAGAUACCCUGGUAGUCCUGGCAGUAAACGGUGCGCGUUUGGUGUGGGAGGAUUCGACCCCUUCUGUGCCGGAGCUAAACGCGUUAAACGCGCCGCCUGGGGAGUACGGUCGCAAGAUUAAAACUCAAAGAAAUUGACGGGGGCCCGCACAAGCGGUGGAGUAUGUGGCUUAAUUCGAUGCAACGCGAAGAACCUUACCUAGCCUUGACAUGCAUCUCUAAGUCGGUGAAAGCCGGCGACUAUAGCAAUAUAGAAUUUGUCACAGGUGCUGCAUGGCUGUCGUCAGCUCGUGUCGUGAGAUG